UACGUAGGGCGCAAGCGUUAUCCGGAAUUAUUGGGCGUAAAGAGCUCGUAGGCGGUUUGUCGCGUCUGCCGUGAAAGUCCGUGGCUCAACUCCGGAUCUGCGGUGGGUACGGGCAGACUAGAGUGAUGUAGGGGAGACUGGAAUUCCUGGUGUAGCGGUGAAAUGCGCAGAUAUCAGGAGGAACACCGAUGGCGAAGGCAGGUCUCUGGGCAUUAACUGACGCUGAGGAGCGAAAGCAUGGGGAGCGAACAGG
Molecule: ribosomal RNA, 253 nt
Filed under: uncultured bacterium
Lineage: Bacteria
Description: partial 16S ribosomal RNA
Rfam family: Bacterial small subunit ribosomal RNA
Source: RNAcentral